UCAGAGCCCGUGAGUCGCGUUGCCAAGUGAGAUCGAAGUGGACACAUGGAUCCGGUGAACGAAUGUUUGAAAUCGAGGCUGAAAGGAGAUGAGGUCGUCCAUGGCAGCGCUAUGUUGCAAAUCCGAAUCGAAAAGAGAUAUAAACGACUGAGGCAUAACAAAUGCAAGGCAACAUACGGUAAGGCACUCCUGUAUCAU
This is a non-coding RNA of Vicia faba (fava bean), 198 nucleotides long. NCBI's taxonomy places the organism in Eukaryota, Viridiplantae, Streptophyta, Magnoliopsida, Fabales, Fabaceae. The record is from the annotation of a GenBank genome assembly.